UUUCCGUAGGUGAACCUGCGGAAGGAUCAUUAUUGUAUAACCGAGGUGCGAGGGCUGUCGCUGACCCGAAAGGUCGUGCACGCCCGAGUGCCCUCACACACAUCCAUCUCACCCUUAUGUGCACCACCGCGUGGGUCCCCCUUUGGCUUGUUCGGAGGGGGGCUUACGUUGUCACACAAACUUUGUAUGCAGUGUAGAAUGUAUUUUUUGUUUUUGCGAUCACGCAAUCAAUACAACUUUCAACAACGGAUCUCUUGGCUCUC
This 263-nucleotide unclassified non-coding RNA is filed under the name plant metagenome. Its description in RNAcentral is "partial contains small subunit ribosomal RNA, internal transcribed spacer 1, and 5.8S ribosomal RNA". The record is from RNAcentral.